GCCCUUAUAGCUCAGUGGUAGAGCACCACCUUGGUAAGGUGGGGGUCAGCAGUUCAAAUCUGCUUGAGGGCU
This 72-nucleotide transfer RNA is filed under the name Pleomorphochaeta caudata. Its description in RNAcentral is "tRNA-Thr". It matches the Rfam family "tRNA". Rfam says of the family: Transfer RNA (tRNA) molecules are approximately 80 nucleotides in length. Lineage: Bacteria; Pseudomonadati; Spirochaetota; Spirochaetia; Spirochaetales; Sphaerochaetaceae. RNAcentral also lists the same sequence under 3 other names. The record is from RNAcentral.